GCCCAGACUCCUACGGGAGGCAGCAGUGGGGAAUAUUGCACAAUGGGGGAAACCCUGAUGCAGCAACGCCGCGUGAGUGAGGAAGUAUUUCGGUAUGUAAAGCUCUAUCAGCAGGGAAGAAAAUGACGGUACCUGACUAAGAAGCCCCGGCUAACUACGUGCCAGCAGCCGCGGUAAUACGUAGGGGGCAAGCGUUAUCCGGAUUUACUGGGUGUAAAGGGAGCGUAGACGGUCCUGCAAGCCAGAUGUGAAAGCCCGGGGCUCAACCCCGGGACUGCAUUUGAAACUGUGUGGCUGGAGUGUCGGAGAGGCAGGCGGAAUUCCUAGUGUAGCGGUGAAAUGCGUAGAUAUUAGGAGGAACACCAGUGGCGAAGGCGGCCUACUGGACGAUGACUGACGUUGAGGCUCGAAAGCGUGGGGAGCAAACAGGAUUAGAUACCCCCGUA
This 446-nucleotide ribosomal RNA is filed under the name uncultured bacterium. RNAcentral describes it as "bacterial SSU rRNA". It matches the Rfam family "Bacterial small subunit ribosomal RNA", at positions 329 to 792 of the family's 1533-position model. The record is from RNAcentral.